AACGCACAUUGCGCCCCUUGGUAUUCCAUGGGGCAUGCCUGUUCGAGCGUCAUUGUAAACCUCAAGCUUUGCUUGGUGUUGGGUGUUUGUCCUGCCUGUUGUGUAUGGACUCGCCUUAAAAAUAUUGGCAGCCGAUCCCCUCAGUUCGGAGCGCAGCAGAUACAGCGCGACGAAGCUAGGCGUAGCGGCACCCAGAAGCUUCUCCCCAAGUUUGACCUCGGAUCAGGUAGGGAUACCCGCUGAACUUAA
Molecule: unclassified non-coding RNA, 249 nt
Filed under: uncultured Pleosporales
Lineage: Eukaryota; Fungi; Ascomycota; Dothideomycetes; Pleosporales
Description: sequence contains 5.8S rRNA gene, ITS2, 28S rRNA gene
Source: RNAcentral